RNAcentral lists this long non-coding RNA (589 nucleotides) under Homo sapiens (human). RNAcentral describes it as "SOX5 antisense RNA 1 (SOX5-AS1)". Lineage: Eukaryota; Metazoa; Chordata; Mammalia; Primates; Hominidae. The record is from RNAcentral.
CAGCAUUCUGAACAGCAAUGCUCAUCACAUAAACAUGAAGUUUCCUCCAAAAGGAAUGAUGACUAAUGCUUUGAGGAAACAGCAGACGUCAGACAGCAAGCCCAGAAAAACCUGCCAGCACCAAGAGGGUGUCCUCAACAGGCGCCUGGGGGACAUAUUAUUCUAACUAAAGAGACCAGAGCUUCCCCAGGAAGGGAAGAGGAGAGAAAUGAAGAACGUCUGUGUUCAUGUUUGCCAAAAACAAAAGUCUGAGAAAUCUCUGAGAGACUCUACAUGGGAGGGCACUAAUCGAAGCACCUCAUUUAAAGUGAGAAAAGCUUUGCUAAGGGCAGAUGAUUCAGCACGGUAUCCUUCGAUGAGUACUGUCAUCUCAAAUCCUUUUUAAGAAGAAAAGUGCAACCCACUGGAGAAAGAGAGGGACUCCGAGGAAGGAGAGAGAGAAGAGCAUCAAGCACAAAUGAUGAUCUCCUAGGACAGUGGCAGCUUCUGAGAAUGCACAGGAAAGUGACCAGGGAAAGAAUGAUUCCAUCUCCAGGAAUCCCUGGUGAUCUUCAGAGCCCAGACAGGACCCUGCUGGGCCAUGGUAACU